GACCUUUGUUUAUGUAACUUGAACGAAAUCUUAGUGGCGGACGGGUGAGUAACGCGUGGGUAACCUACCCAUUAAGCCGGGACAACCCUUGGAAACGAGGGCUAAUACCGGAUACGCUUAAUAUCUGGCAUCAUCGCUUAAGGAAAGGCGGCCUCUGAAAAUGCUGCCGAUAAUGGAUGGACCCGCGUCUGAUUAGCUAGUUGGUGGGGUAAGGGCCUACCAAGGCGACGAUCAGCAGCCGGCCUGAGAGGGUGAACGGCCUCUCUGGGACUGAUACACGGCCCAUACUCCUACGGGAGGCAGCAGUGGGGAAUCUUCCGCAAUGGACGAAAGUCUGACGGAGCAACGCCGCGUGUAUGAUGAAGGUCUUCGGAUUGUAAAGUACUGUUUUUAUGGAAGAACGAUCGUGUCAUGAGUAUGGGCAGGAUAUGACGGUACCUAAUGAGGAAGCCCCGGCUAACUACGUGCCAGCAGCCGCGGUAAU
RNAcentral lists this ribosomal RNA (484 nucleotides) under uncultured bacterium. RNAcentral describes it as "bacterial SSU rRNA". It matches the Rfam family "Bacterial small subunit ribosomal RNA", at positions 64 to 524 of the family's 1533-position model. The record is from RNAcentral.